RNAcentral lists this ribosomal RNA (253 nucleotides) under uncultured bacterium. RNAcentral describes it as "partial 16S ribosomal RNA". It matches the Rfam family "Bacterial small subunit ribosomal RNA", at positions 524 to 776 of the family's 1533-position model. The record is from RNAcentral.
UACGUAGGUGGCGAGCGUUAUCCGGAAUUACUGGGUGUAAAGGGCGUGUAGGCGGGUUCAUAAGUCAGAUGUGAAAUUCCCAGGCUCAACUUGGGCGCUGCAUCUGAAACUGUGAAUCUUGAGUGCUGGAGAGGAAAGCGGAAUUCCUAGUGUAGCGGUGAAAUGCGUAGAUAUUAGGAGGAACACCAGUGGCGAAGGCGGCUUUCUGGACAGUAACUGACGCUGAGGCGCGAAAGCGUGGGGAGCAAACAGG